Quercus lobata is the source of this 2102-nucleotide long non-coding RNA. RefSeq lists it as uncharacterized. NCBI's taxonomy places the organism in Eukaryota, Viridiplantae, Streptophyta, Magnoliopsida, Fagales, Fagaceae. The record is from RefSeq and is a predicted model, not a curated record. The transcript is spliced from 5 exons.
AAUAGAUUUUUUAACAAUUAUUUAAAAAUAAAUAAUAUUUUUUUUAUAAAACAAAUUUUAUAAGUUGGAUAUAUAUAUCCCCGCUAUACCCGUGUCCUAAUUUUUCUAAAAUUGCCGUGUUGUUUUGUAUCCGUAUCCGUGUCUGUGCUUCCUAGAUUGUAGGAUAUAUAUUUCACGUUUUAAGUGUGCAUAUCUAUGUUUUUGUGUUUAGCCUAUGUUUUCAUAUAAUUUACACAUGCCAUUUCUUUUUUAGGUUUUGACCUGUGAUAAUUAGAUGGAAAAUCAGUUUUUUAUUUCCUGUUGCUUUGUGAUGCUUCAUGUGCUACCUUCGCCCAUGUGGUUUGUCCACUGUUCCUUUGGGAUGCCCCAAUAUACUAUUAAUGUUGAAACCCCAAUAGGCAGAUUAUUAAUAACUUUCCUAACAGUUACUUUAUUAAAAAAAAUACCCUUUUUUAUUUGCUUUAUUUCAAUUUAAAUCUUGGAUGGCAGUUUUGGAAAAUGAUAACUAUUUAUUUCAAAGACAAUAAUAUCCCUAUAAAAAGUUGAAUCCUCUACGCUGAACUAAUAAUAUGGGAUGGAUGCAAGCAGUAAGUCACAAGAAAUAGGUUUCUUAUGUUUGUUCAUUUGUUCAUUUUGUUUAGAACUACUGAUUUGAUGGUUUACCAGGUUCUUGCAGUGCAAAACAAGAAGGAAUAAAAGUAUGCAAAUCCCAUUGAAUUGAGCCAGUUUGUGGAUUUCAUCAAGCAUGACAAACUCCAAACUGAGACCUUCAUUAUCGGGCCAAACCAGUCUUGAUUUUCAGGUGUCUCAUGGCUUUCAUAUAACCCCUUGCUUUCCAUGUUCUUUGAGCAACAACUCAUAUUGCUUUUGAUCUCUUGACAUGGGCUUUGAUCUAAUAUCUUCAAAUCAGAGUUCAAGUUGGUAAUAUCUCAGGUUUAAACAUAUUUCUCUCUAAAUAUGUGAAUUAUCUCUAAUUUUCUAGAAUGUUAUGUCUGCUUUGUUUCAAAGUCGUCCCUCCUUCUCUCAAUGUUUUCAAACUUCGAAUCACCUAAAAUUUUGGCUGCCAACUAAUAUGUGCUUUUUUUAUUUUUUUAUCUCAGGUUCAAAAGAUACAGUCUCUCAUAUUAAAUAUUGGAGUUGUUUAUAGUCUUUUAAAGAAAUGGUUGCAAUGUGUUUGGUGAAAGAUCAAGCAAAGAGGCGGAACUUAUUGAAACACACCUUUUUCAAGCGUGCAAAGUCUCUUGAGAUUUCUGUGAAUAAAUGAUUCGCUGACUUGCCACCCCUUUGGAAUCAUGUAAAAGCCCUCCUGGUUACCCAUCAUAUUGCUGUGAUGCACCUUCCAUACUUUCACUUGUCCUGGUUAGCUUGUCUCAUGGCUAUGGUUAAUUUUGCAGCUUUAAGAUCAAGUGCAACUCUGUAAAGAAUAAGAGGUACACUGAUGAUAUGGAGCUUGAUGAUGCUGUGCAUAUGGCUAUUUUGAUGCUGAAGGAGGGGUUGAUGCUUAUCGGAGAAGAUGUAGAUGAUGAUUAAGGCUGAGAAUUGCUGGAUAAUGUUUUGGAAGGGUGUAACUUCAUGAUGCCAUACAUUGGUAUAAGUCAUUGGCUUCUUGGAGAAGCCAUGUAUGGAGAGAAGAUGCAUUCCUGCCAGAAUGGGUAUUACAUGGAGCCAAACCUAGAGAAAGUAGAUUUUCUUUUGUGGUCGUAAGUUGCCUUUUGAUUGGAAUUUUUCCAGUGCAAGGGCUAGUUGCUUAGUUUGUAGAGAGGAAAUUGAGCUAGGAAUACCUGAGCCACUAGGCUUAGGACUGGCUUGCUUGGGCUGGUUGGUUUAGGUGAAAAAGCCCAUGACAAGUGCUAGAGAAGUUCAUGCCAGGCCUCAAUUUGCUCUGGGCAAGAAAGGGUCAUGUUUAGCAUAGCUUUGGUGCAACACUUUCACAUACAAUCUUGUGGAUCUAGUCCAAGAGGCAGUUAUGUUAAGCAUCCAAUUACCAGAAGAGACACAAUUACUAUCCUUCUGCUUUAUGAGUAGUCUGGUUGAUAUGUAUUCCUUUGGCAAGGUGUAGACAUUCUUGGAAAGACAUGAUAAACUCCUUGUUUCAUAUGUCA